AAGACCUUGCGCUUUUGGAGCGGCCGAUGCCUGAUUAGCUAGUUGGUGGGGUAAUGGCCUACCAAAGCUUCGAUCAGUAGCUGGUCUGAGAGGACGGCCAGCCACACUGGGACUGAGACACGGCCCAGACUCCUACGGGAGGCAGCAGUGGGGAAUUUUGGACAAUGGGCGCAAGCCUGAUCCAGCCAUGCCGCGUGAGUGAAGAAGGCCUUCGGGUUGUAAAGCUCUUUCAGCCGGGAAGAAAAGGUUGCGAUUAAUAAUCGCAAUUUAUGACGGUACCGGAAGAAGAAGCACCGGCUAACUACGUGCCAGCAGCCGCGGUAAUACGUAGGGUGCGAGUGUUAAUCGGAAUUACUGGGCGUAAAGGGUGCGCAGGCGGUUUUGUAAGUCAGAUGUGAAAUCCCCGGGCUUAACCUGGGAACU
Molecule: ribosomal RNA, 423 nt
Filed under: uncultured bacterium
Lineage: Bacteria
Description: bacterial SSU rRNA
Rfam family: Bacterial small subunit ribosomal RNA
Source: RNAcentral